UACGUAGGGGGCUAGCGUUGUCCGGAUUUAUUGGGCGUAAAGAGCGUGUAGGCGGCCAUGUAGGUCCGGUGUGAAAACUCGAGGCUUAACCUCGAGAUGUCAUCGGAAACCAUUUGGCUAGAGUCCGGAAGAGGAGAGUGGAAUUCCUGGUGUAGCGGUGAAAUGCGCAGAUAUCAGGAAGAACACCAAUGGCGAAAGCAGCUCUCUGGGACGGUACUGACGCUGAGGUGCGAAAGCUAGGGGAGCAAACGGG
Molecule: ribosomal RNA, 253 nt
Filed under: uncultured bacterium
Lineage: Bacteria
Description: partial 16S ribosomal RNA
Rfam family: Bacterial small subunit ribosomal RNA
Source: RNAcentral